GGAGACUUCCUUUAUCGGUAAGAAGGGUUGAGCUGUAAACUCAAUAGCGACAGCUUUUAAGAGUUCGAAUCUCUUGUCUCCU
This 82-nucleotide transfer RNA is filed under the name Hapsidospora chrysogenum ATCC 11550. RNAcentral describes it as "Acremonium chrysogenum ATCC 11550 tRNA". It matches the Rfam family "tRNA". Rfam says of the family: Transfer RNA (tRNA) molecules are approximately 80 nucleotides in length. Their secondary structure includes four short double-helical elements and three loops (D, anti-codon, and T loops). Lineage: Eukaryota; Fungi; Ascomycota; Sordariomycetes; Hypocreales; Bionectriaceae. The record is from Rfam by way of RNAcentral.